CCCUUAGAUGUUCUGGGCCGCACGCGCGCUACACUGACGACUUCAACGAGUUUUUUUCAUUUGAAAAAGUCCUUGGCCGGAAGGUCUGGGUAAUCCUUUAAAAGGUCGUCGUGAUGGGGCUAGAUUCUUGCAAUUAUUAAUCUCCAACGAGGAAUUCCUAGUAAACGCAAGUCAUCAACUUGCAUUGAUUACGUCCCUGCCCUUUGUACACACCGCCCGUCGCACCUACCGAUUGAGUGGUCCGGUGAGGCUUUGGGAUCUGAGCGGAAAGAGCGUUUCGCUGUUUCUGCUCGGAAAACUCAGUCGAACCUUAUCAUUUAGAGGAAGGAGAAGUCGUAACA
RNAcentral lists this ribosomal RNA (341 nucleotides) under uncultured eukaryote. RNAcentral's name for it is "partial 18S ribosomal RNA". It matches the Rfam family "Eukaryotic small subunit ribosomal RNA", at positions 1470 to 1796 of the family's 1831-position model. The record is from RNAcentral.